UAUCAACGGCGGACUACCACUAGCGGCGACAACGAACCGCCAAUGUAUAUGUAAAAUGAGCGGCGUUUUUAUGUGGCCGCCAGUGUUCGGAUAAGCAACCGCCGCUGGAAAAAAUAAAAUAGGGCUUUUCCCCUUCCCGAAUAGCAUCCCCAAAUUGCGCCCGCCAAAUCUCUCUCCCAAAACCCCUUUUCCCUCCUCUCCCAAAUCGCGCCUGCCAAAUCUCUCUCCCAAAACCCCUUUUCCCUCCUCUCCCAAAUCGCCCCAUCCCCAAAUCGCGUGUGCGCCAAUAUUUCUCUCCCAAAACCCUUCUUCCCUCUUCUCUCCCAAAUCGCGCGCCCCAUCCCCAAAUCCCGAAAGUCUCUCUCUCUCUCUCUCCAAAGUCCCUACACUCCGGUCUCUCUACAUAUGGAUUCCAUUUCCAUUGCUUGUUGAAGACGCUGAUCUCUCAGCCGUUGCCCUCCUUGCUGGAACACGCCAAAGUCCGAGAAGGCCCGCAAGAGGAAGAAGCACCAGCAACAGCCGCAGCAGAAUAUUACCCUAUAGAAAUUUGAUACCUGGUCUGUUUUUCAUCACCGAAUCCCCCGGUGGCUGGUGAGUCUUAUUAGUAAACACCUUAACAAGUGCUGGGAUUCGGUGUCUAGGCCAAAAUGGGUAUGACGGACGAGUUUGAAGCUUCUUUGCAAGUAUACUAUGGGGAUUUGAUACUGACAUUUCUUUUGAAGUGAAUGAAAUCAAGAGAUCUGUAGCUUCCACAAGCAGGAGAACAGCCAUCUGAUUUUCUGAUCUCAAGCAAAGAAGAUAUUGGUUUCCUCUAAUGGUAGGAAUUGGGUUACUAAUAUUGCAUCAGCUAAGUGGAGUCAAUGACAUCCUAUUUUAUGCGAGCAAUAUUUUCAAAGCUGCUCGUAGGUUUAGUUAUCAAUAUUUUCACCAGUAUUGUGCUUUUUUUUUUUUUUCCAGUUGAAUGUGGACAGUUGCUGUUUUUACCUUCUUAGCCAUCUUUUUGUAGGCUACUAAAUUCCAUCUGGUCCAUCCCAAGCCUGGGUAGAGGGUUGAUGUCAGGUUUGUUGAUGGGCAUUGAACCUUUGCCAAGCAAUCAUAAAAAAGAUCCCAAAUAGCUGGGACAAGGCUAUAAUGAUAAUGAUGACAAUAUACCAUCUAAUUGAGUCCAGAUUUGAAAUAACAGGAUUCUCCUAUCAAGGAGAUUUUCUUGACAUGGCCCAUUAUGAUGAUAAUGGUGACAAUAUACCAUCUAGAGUACCAUAGCAUUUUACUCACCACAAAUUGAAACCACUUGUUUUGAAAUAUCUUAUCCAUUACUCAGUUUUCAACAUGCACGACAUGGGCAGUCUGUAACUGUUUCCAAUCUGAUACGUUCAGUUAGUCUACAAUUCAAAAUUGUCAGAAUUUGCUGGCCAUUGAUUGGUGAGGAGACAGUUCCAACUGAACUGAUAGUUCUGCAUUUUGACACUUCACAGAGGGAGGGAGAGAGUUAAGGAUUCCUUCAAACAUGUUCAAGUUGCCACUGUUUGUCUUACUACUUUUCACCAUGCCAUUUGAUUCAUCAGCUGGUUAAGGAUCUCUUCAAACAAGUUCAAGUCGCCACCAUUUGUCUUACUACUUUUCACCAUGCCAUUUGAUUCAUUAGCUUGUUUUGAAAGGUUUUUGGAGGUCCAUCUGGUAUGGAUCUGUUCAUAAGCUUUGUUUUGUCUUACUUAAUGGCUUGUUACUACUUUUCACCAUGCCAUUUGGUUCAUCACAGUUUUUAGUGUUUUCAAAAUGCCUGGGAAAGGAAUUAUG
This is a long non-coding RNA of Magnolia sinica, 1797 nucleotides long. RefSeq lists it as uncharacterized. The transcript is spliced from 4 exons. Lineage: Eukaryota; Viridiplantae; Streptophyta; Magnoliopsida; Magnoliales; Magnoliaceae. The record is from RefSeq and is a predicted model, not a curated record.